Non-coding RNA from Mycena polygramma, 95 nucleotides. NCBI's taxonomy places the organism in Eukaryota, Fungi, Basidiomycota, Agaricomycetes, Agaricales, Mycenaceae. The record is from the annotation of a GenBank genome assembly.
GCAUUAAUGGGGUAGUGGUAACCUGGGUCGUUGCCAUCUUCGGAUUUCAUAAGCAGAAAUUCGACCCGCCGGGGGUUCGAUUCCCUCUUAAUGCA